RNAcentral lists this ribosomal RNA (2484 nucleotides) under Staphylococcus aureus. Its description in RNAcentral is "bacterial LSU rRNA". It matches the Rfam family "Bacterial large subunit ribosomal RNA", at positions 434 to 2925 of the family's 2925-position model. Lineage: Bacteria; Bacillati; Bacillota; Bacilli; Caryophanales; Staphylococcaceae. The record is from RNAcentral.
CCGUCGGAAUCUGGGAGGACCAUCUCCUAAGGCUAAAUACUCUCUAGUGACCGAUAGUGAACCAGUACCGUGAGGGAAAGGUGAAAAGCACCCCGGAAGGGGAGUGAAAUAGAACCUGAAACCGUGUGCUUACAAGUAGUCAGAGCCCGUUAAUGGGUGAUGGCGUGCCUUUUGUAGAAUGAACCGGCGAGUUACGAUUUGAUGCAAGGUUAAGCAGUAAAUGUGGAGCCGUAGCGAAAGCGAGUCUGAAUAGGGCGUUUAGUAUUUGGUCGUAGACCCGAAACCAGGUGAUCUACCCUUGGUCAGGUUGAAGUUCAGGUAACACUGAAUGGAGGACCGAACCGACUUACGUUGAAAAGUGAGCGGAUGAACUGAGGGUAGCGGAGAAAUUCCAAUCGAACCUGGAGAUAGCUGGUUCUCUCCGAAAUAGCUUUAGGGCUAGCCUCAAGUGAUGAUUAUUGGAGGUAGAGCACUGUUUGGACGAGGGGCCCCUCUCGGGUUACCGAAUUCAGACAAACUCCGAAUGCCAAUUAAUUUAACUUGGGAGUCAGAACAUGGGUGAUAAGGUCCGUGUUCGAAAGGGAAACAGCCCAGACCACCAGCUAAGGUCCCAAAAUAUAUGUUAAGUGGAAAAGGAUGUGGCGUUGCCCAGACAACUAGGAUGUUGGCUUAGAAGCAGCCAUCAUUUAAAGAGUGCGUAAUAGCUCACUAGUCGAGUGACACUGCGCCGAAAAUGUACCGGGGCUAAACAUAUUACCGAAGCUGUGGAUUGUCCUUUGGACAAUGGUAGGAGAGCGUUCUAAGGGCGUUGAAGCAUGAUCGUAAGGACAUGUGGAGCGCUUAGAAGUGAGAAUGCCGGUGUGAGUAGCGAAAGACGGGUGAGAAUCCCGUCCACCGAUUGACUAAGGUUUCCAGAGGAAGGCUCGUCCGCUCUGGGUUAGUCGGGUCCUAAGCUGAGGCCGACAGGCGUAGGCGAUGGAUAACAGGUUGAUAUUCCUGUACCACCUAUAAUCGUUUUAAUCGAUGGGGGGACGCAGUAGGAUAGGCGAAGCGUGCGAUUGGAUUGCACGUCUAAGCAGUAAGGCUGAGUAUUAGGCAAAUCCGGUACUCGUUAAGGCUGAGCUGUGAUGGGGAGAAGACAUUGUGUCUUCGAGUCGUUGAUUUCACACUGCCGAGAAAAGCCUCUAGAUAGAAAAUAGGUGCCCGUACCGCAAACCGACACAGGUAGUCAAGAUGAGAAUUCUAAGGUGAGCGAGCGAACUCUCGUUAAGGAACUCGGCAAAAUGACCCCGUAACUUCGGGAGAAGGGGUGCUCUUUAGGGUUAACGCCCAGAAGAGCCGCAGUGAAUAGGCCCAAGCGACUGUUUAUCAAAAACACAGGUCUCUGCUAAACCGUAAGGUGAUGUAUAGGGGCUGACGCCUGCCCGGUGCUGGAAGGUUAAGAGGAGUGGUUAGCUUCUGCGAAGCUACGAAUCGAAGCCCCAGUAAACGGCGGCCGUAACUAUAACGGUCCUAAGGUAGCGAAAUUCCUUGUCGGGUAAGUUCCGACCCGCACGAAAGGCGUAACGAUUUGGGCACUGUCUCAACGAGAGACUCGGUGAAAUCAUAGUACCUGUGAAGAUGCAGGUUACCCGCGACAGGACGGAAAGACCCCGUGGAGCUUUACUGUAGCCUGAUAUUGAAAUUCGGCACAGCUUGUACAGGAUAGGUAGGAGCCUUUGAAACGUGAGCGCUAGCUUACGUGGAGGCGCUGGUGGGAUACUACCCUAGCUGUGUUGGCUUUCUAACCCGCACCACUUAUCGUGGUGGGAGACAGUGUCAGGCGGGCAGUUUGACUGGGGCGGUCGCCUCCUAAAAGGUAACGGAGGCGCUCAAAGGUUCCCUCAGAAUGGUUGGAAAUCAUUCAUAGAGUGUAAAGGCAUAAGGGAGCUUGACUGCGAGACCUACAAGUCGAGCAGGGUCGAAAGACGGACUUAGUGAUCCGGUGGUUCCGCAUGGAAGGGCCAUCGCUCAACGGAUAAAAGCUACCCCGGGGAUAACAGGCUUAUCUCCCCCAAGAGUUCACAUCGACGGGGAGGUUUGGCACCUCGAUGUCGGCUCAUCGCAUCCUGGGGCUGUAGUCGGUCCCAAGGGUUGGGCUGUUCGCCCAUUAAAGCGGUACGCGAGCUGGGUUCAGAACGUCGUGAGACAGUUCGGUCCCUAUCCGUCGUGGGCGUAGGAAAUUUGAGAGGAGCUGUCCUUAGUACGAGAGGACCGGGAUGGACAUACCUCUGGUGUACCAGUUGUCGUGCCAACGGCAUAGCUGGGUAGCUAUGUGUGGACGGGAUAAGUGCUGAAAGCAUCUAAGCAUGAAGCCCCCCUCAAGAUGAGAUUUCCCAACUUCGGUUAUAAGAUCCCUCAAAGAUGAUGAGGUUAAUAGGUUCGAGGUGGAAGCAUGGUGACAUGUGGAGCUGACGAAUACUAAUCGAUCGAAGACUUAAUCAA